UACGGAGGGGGCUAGCGUUGUUCGGAAUUACUGGGCGUAAAGCGCACGUAGGCGGCUUUGUAAGUUAGAGGUGAAAGCCCCAGGGCUCAACCCUGGAAUUGCCUUUAAGACUGCAUCGCUAGAAUUGUGGAGAGGUAAGUGGAAUUCCGAGUGUAGAGGUGAAAUUCGUAGAUAUUCGGAAGAACACCAGUGGCGAAGGCGACUUACUGGACACAUAUUGACGCUGAGGUGCGAAAGCCGUGGGGAGCA
RNAcentral lists this ribosomal RNA (249 nucleotides) under uncultured bacterium. RNAcentral describes it as "partial 16S ribosomal RNA". It matches the Rfam family "Bacterial small subunit ribosomal RNA", at positions 524 to 770 of the family's 1533-position model. The record is from RNAcentral.